UACGUAGGGGGCAAGCGUUGUCCGGAUUUACUGGGCGUAAAGCGCGUGUAGGCGGCUCGGCAAGUCGGGUGUGAAAGCCCUGGGCUUAACCUAGGAAGUGCACUCGAAACUGCCAAGCUUGAGUUCUGGAGAGGAAGGCGGAAUUCUCGGUGUAGAGGUGAAAUUCGUAGAUAUCGAGAGGAACACCGGUGGCGAAGGCGGCCUUCUGGACAGCAACUGACGCUGAGACGCGAAAGCGUGGGGAGCAAACAGG
Molecule: ribosomal RNA, 253 nt
Filed under: uncultured bacterium
Lineage: Bacteria
Description: partial 16S ribosomal RNA
Rfam family: Bacterial small subunit ribosomal RNA
Source: RNAcentral